RNAcentral lists this ribosomal RNA (1842 nucleotides) under Saldula brevicornis. RNAcentral describes it as "bacterial SSU rRNA". It matches the Rfam family "Eukaryotic small subunit ribosomal RNA", at positions 49 to 1412 of the family's 1831-position model. Lineage: Eukaryota; Metazoa; Arthropoda; Insecta; Hemiptera; Saldidae. The record is from RNAcentral.
CCAUGCAAGUCUUAGUACGAACUGAACUUAAAGUGAAACCGCAGAAGGCUCAUUAAAUCAGUUAUGGUUCACUUGAGCUAAAAAUUUUAUGGAUAACUGUGGUAAUUCUAGAGCUAAUACAUGCUAACAAGUCCUGUCCAGCGAUGGAAAGGACGCUUUUAUUAGAUCAAAACCAAUCGGACCUCGGUCCGACGUUUUGGUGACUCUGGAUAACAAUGCAGAUCGCAUGGUCUUUGUACCGGCGACGUAUCUUUCAAAUGCCUGACUUAUCAACUGUCGAUGGUAUAUUCUGUGUGUACCAUGGUUUUAACGGGUAACGGGGAAUCAGGGUUCGAUUCCGGAGAGGGAGCCUGAGAAACGGCUACCACAUCCAAGGAAGGCAGCAGGCACGCAAAUUACCCACUCCCGGCACGGGGAGGUAGUGACAAAAAAUAACGAUACGGGACUCAUCCGAGGCCCCGUAAUCGGAAUGAGCACACUUUAAAUCCUUUAACCAGGAUCUAUUGGAGGGCAAGUCUGGUGCCAGCCGCCGCGGUAACUCCAGCUCCAAUAGCGUAUAUUAAAGUUGUUGCGGUUAGAGGGACAGGCGGCGUAUAGCCGCACGAGAUUGAGCAAUAACAGGUCUGUGAUGCCCUUAGAUGUUCUGGGCCGCACGCGCGCUACACUGAAGGAAUCAGCGUGUAUCUCCCUAGGCCGAAAGGUCCGGGUAACCCGCUGAAACUCCUUCGUGCUAGGAAUUGGGGCUUGAAAUUCUUCCCCAUGAACGAGGAAUUCCCAGUAAGCGCGAGUCAUAAGCUCGCGUUGAUUACGUCCCUGCCCUUUGUACACACCGCCCGUCGCUACUACCGAUUGAAUGAUUUAGUGAGGUCUUCGGACUGGUGGUUAACGGCUCUGUUUCGGCAUUGCCGAUGCCACCGGAAAGAUGACCAAACUUGAUCAUUUAGAGGAAGUAAAAAGUCGUAACAAGGUUUCCCUUGGCAAAUGCUUUCGCAAAAAGCUCGUAGUUGGUUCUGUGUCCCACGCUGUUGGUUCACUGCCUGUCGGUGCAACUGGCAUGUCGUGGGAUGUCCUGUCGGUGGCGUCCGGGGUCUUCGGAUAAGUUCCUUCGGGUGCUUUCCGUUGUUCUUCCGGUCGCCGACUCAAUCCUGCCGCGGUGCUCUUUACUGAGUGUCGAGGUAGGCCGACACGUUUACUUUGAACAAAUUAGAGUGCUUAAAGCAGGCUGAAUCCUGCCAGAAUAGUGGUGCAUGGAAUAAUAGAACAGGACCUUGGUUCUAUUUUGUUGGUUUUCGGAAUCCAAGGUAAUGAUCAAUAUGGACAGACGGGGGCAUUCGUAUUGCGACGUUAGAGGUGAAAUUCUUGGAUCGUCGCAAGACGUACUAAAGCGAAAGCAUUUGCCAAGAAUGUCUUAAUUGAUCAAGAACGAAAGUUAGAGGUUCGAAGGCGAUCAGAUACCGCCCUAGUUCUAACCAUAAACGAUGUCAGCCAGCGAUCCGCCGGCGUUCAUUGAAUGGCUCGGCGGGCAGCUUCCCCGGAAACGAAAGCUUUCGGGUUCCGGGGGAAGUAUGGUUGCAAAGCUGAAACUUAAAGGAAUUGACGGAAGGGCACCACCAGGAGUGGAGCCUGCGGCUUAAUUUGACUCAACACGGGAAACCUCACCAGGCCCGGACAUUGGAAGGAUUGACAGAUUGAUAGCUCUUUCUUGAUUCAGUGGGUAGUGGUGCAUGGCCGUUCUUAGUUGGUGGAACGAUUUGUCUGGUUAAUUCCGAUAACGAACGAGACUCUAGCCUACUAAAUAGGCGAGUUCCGGUAUCCUGACUACCGGCGAUAAACAUACUUCUU